Molecule: ribosomal RNA, 459 nt
Filed under: uncultured bacterium
Lineage: Bacteria
Description: partial 16S ribosomal RNA
Rfam family: Bacterial small subunit ribosomal RNA
Source: RNAcentral
AACGAACGCUGGCGGCAGGCCUAACACAUGCAAGUCGAACGUGAAGCCACCUUCGGGUGGUGGAAAGUGGCAGACGGGUGAGUAACGCGUAGGAACGUGCCUUUCGGUUCGGGAUAACCCAGGGAAACUUGGGCUGAUACCGGAUACGCCCUCCGGGGGAAAGAUUCAUUGCCGAAAGAUCGGCCCGCGUCGGAUUAGCUAGUUGGUGGGGUAAAAGCCUACCAAGGCGACGAUCCGUAGCUGGUCCGAGAGGAUGACCAGCCACACUGGGACUGAGACACGGCCCAGACUCCUACGGGAGGCAGCAGUGGGGAAUAUUGGACAAUGGGCGCAAGCCUGAUCCAGCCAUGCCGCGUGGGUGAAGAAGGCCCUAGGGUUGUAAACCCCUUUCAGCGGGGAAGAUAAUGACGGUACCCGCAGAAGAAGCCCCGGCUAACUCCGUGCCAGCCGCCGCCGUAA